AACGAACGCUGGCGGCAUGCCUAACACAUGCAAGUCGAACGAGACCUUCGGGUCUAGUGGCGCACGGGUGCGUAACGCGUGGGAACCUUCCCUUAGGUUCGGAAUAACUCCCCGAAAGGGGUGCUAAUACCGGAUAAUGUCUUCGGACCAAAGAUUUAUCGCCUUUGGAUGGGCCCGCGUUGGAUUAGCUAGUUGGUAGGGUAAAAGCCUACCAAGGCGACGAUCCGUAGCUGGUCUGAGAGGAUGAUCAGCCACACUGGGACUGAGACACGGCCCAGACUCCUACGGGAGGCAGCAGUGGGGAAUAUUGGACAAUGGGCGAAAGCCUGAUCCAGCAAUGACGCGUGAGUGAUGAAGGCCUUAGGGUUGUAAAGCUCUUUUACCCGGGAUGAUAAUGACAGUACCGGGAGAAUAAGCUCCGGCUAACUCCGUG
Molecule: ribosomal RNA, 433 nt
Filed under: uncultured bacterium
Lineage: Bacteria
Description: partial 16S ribosomal RNA
Rfam family: Bacterial small subunit ribosomal RNA
Source: RNAcentral